Molecule: non-coding RNA, 84 nt
Organism: Candidatus Berkelbacteria bacterium CG1_02_42_45
Lineage: Bacteria; Candidatus Berkelbacteria
Source: Rfam
GCCGGGGUGGCGAAAUUGGUAGACGCAUCAGCUUUAGGAGCUGACGGUCGAAAGACUGUGAAGGUUCGAGUCCUUUCCCCGGCA